This is a long non-coding RNA of Piliocolobus tephrosceles (Ugandan red Colobus), 1782 nucleotides long. The record is from Ensembl. NCBI's taxonomy places the organism in Eukaryota, Metazoa, Chordata, Mammalia, Primates, Cercopithecidae.
AUGUUACAUUUGCUCACCGUAUACAUAUCAGAUAUGAAAAAGAAUAUACGGAUGUUAAACGAACAAAUAAACUUAGAAGAUGAAAAAAACAAUACAUAUGAUAUAUUUUUAAAUUUUUAUAUAUGCUCUAAAAGGUCUUAUUAUUAUAAAAAUUUAAAUUUAUUCUAUAUAAAUAUUAUCAAUUUAUUUUUAUGCAUUUAUCAUAUUAUAGAAAAACAUAGUAAAAUAUAUAGCUGCUUAAAUCAUACUAGAGAACUCAGUUUAAGUUUAAGCGAUUUUUUAUUAUGCAUAUACAUAUUUAUUUUAUUACUCAAAAAUGAAAACAGUUAUUUUGAAAAAAUAAUAGAAAUUGUACAGCUCUACCCAAAUGAACAACAACAUGAAAAAUUGUCUAACCAAAUUUUACAUACUUUACUGAAUUAUAUAAAAGGAAUAUAUCAUAGCGAAACCCAUUUUGUAUUAAUUAAUAAUUUGACCUUACAAAAAAUUUGUUCUUUAUUGCGCAAUGACAAAAGUGAGCAAACCGAAAAGGAGCGAACGUUAGAAGAAGCUAAACAUGUGACUAACUUAAAAGAAACCAAAGAUGAAAUUUCCUAUGCAUCUACCUUUUUCGCAAACAGUUUUACCAAAUUUGAAAAAAAAGAGAAAGCGAAAAUAAAAAAUAUAAUAUUGUCAAAUAAAAACCAAAACCAAAUAAGCAUUGACUUAUUCGAUGACAUGAUAUAUUACAAAAAAGUAAAAAAAACAUGUGAACAAUUAAAAAUAGAACUAUGUAUAAAAAUUAUUAGAACAAUGUGUUAUUAUUUAAAUUUAUUACAAAAAAUAUAUAAAGAAAAUAAAAAAGAUAAAAUUCAAUUAAGAAAUAUGAUAUAUCAUAUAUUAUUAGAUAUAUCUUAUAGCAUUAGCAAUUUAAAUAAUAUUCCAUUAGAAACAGAAAAUAUAACUAGUUUACUUAUUUUAUAUUUUUGCUUCUCUUUUAUUUAUAAUUUUAAGCAUAAUGAAUUUAUUAUAGAUAGCUAUUUCAGACAAACGGACCAACCUGGUGGUAAUACGGGUGUACUAUGUUUAGCUGAUUUAAAAACGAGUCACAAAAUGGAUGAUAAGCCGAGUAACAAAAUGGAUGAUAAGCCGAGUAACAAAAUGGAUGAUAAGCCGAGUAACAAAAUGGAUGAUAAGCCGAGUAACAAAACGGAUGAUAAACCGAGCGACAAAACUGAUGAUAAGCCGAGCGACAAAACUGAUGAUAAACCGAGCGACAAAACGCAUGAUAAACAGAGCGACAAAAAUAAUUCACCGAAUGGCAUUAUAGAAAAAACGUUUGUACAAAACUUUUUUGCUCAUUACAAGACAUAUAUAAUGGAUAUAAAAAACGAAAACACCAAACUCCCAUUGAUGAAUGACAAGGAGCAAGAAACUAUGCUUCGAAAAAUAAGUUAUUUAAUUAAAAAAAUAAAAAAAAAAAACAAAAUUAUAAAAAAGGGAAAGUAUCAUUACAAAAGCAGAACAAAUCAUAUACAAAUAAAACAGAAUUUUGAAAAAAAUAUAUUUAUUUAUGAUAGUAAAAAUGAUAUAUAUAAAUUAAUUCCAACUUUUAAUCAAAAUUUUUAUUACUUACAAUCUAUUCAGUAUAGCAUACUAUUAUUAUUAAGCCAUAAUUAUAAACUUAAUAACUUUGAUGCUAUUCAUUUUAAUUAUAUUCAAAUAAUAAAAAAAAAAUUUACUUUAUUGUCUUUUGUAAAAAAUGAAAUUAAUGCAAACAAAACUAUACAAACGAAUAUUACA